AUCUCCCUGGAAUGUGCGUAUCGUGAUUAGUUGUUGAAUCCGAACAUUUCUGAUAAGGGAAUCUGGUGUUCUAAUACUGUGUUGAAUGCCCAACUGCUUGUUGAGAAUCCUAAUGUAUUAGACAGGAUACCCACCUGCUGCAAAGCGGGUUUUUAUCCUAACACCUACGGCACUCUGGGGAAUUA
RNAcentral lists this non-coding RNA (185 nucleotides) under Turicibacter sp. RNAcentral's name for it is "6S RNA". It matches the Rfam family "6S / SsrS RNA". From Rfam's summary of the family: E. coli 6S RNA was the first non coding RNA to be sequenced, but its function was unknown until recently. The record is from RNAcentral. Lineage: Bacteria; Bacillati; Bacillota; Erysipelotrichia; Erysipelotrichales; Turicibacteraceae.